ACCGCCCCGCCAAGCCGUCCAAGGGCUCAGCUGGAGACACAGCAGCAUGCAGACUGAUGCUCUAACAGCAGGGAUAUAGCAGCAGAGCACCGGGCGGAUAUCGGAGCUGCAGCAUGGGCGUGGGAGAGAGGCACAGCCUAAAGGAAAGCGAUGUAAUUCCACGGACAUAAGAAGGGUGGGUGGGGGGAACCCGAGUAGCGUUGGAUCAGAGUUGUCCCGGGUGUAUUUUGGGGCUUAGUUUGGUGUCUUGUUCUCUUAAAUUCACCAAACACAGUACUUUUUUUCCCUGCCAACCUCCAGUGUAGUUUAAAAGGAUGGAGAAGGGCGCUCAGCAGCAGCCGCCGCAGCAGCUGUCCAAAAGCGCAGAGAGUCCGGCGGACGACAUCUCCAAAUUAAACGACGAGGAGCUGCUGAAGUGGGGCAAGGAGGAGCUGGUGCGGCGGCUGCGGAGGGCAGAGGCGGGGAAGAGGAGCGCCAUCGUGGAGCACGGCAAUCUGAUGCGGGAGGUGAACCGGAGACUCCAGCAGCACCUCAACGAAAUACGGAGUUUAAAGGACGUGAACCAGAAACUGCAGGAGGACAACCAGGAGCUGCGGGACCUGUGCUGCUUCCUGGAUGACGACCGGCAGAAGGGGAAGCGGGUGUCGCGGGAGUGGCAGCGCUUGGGCCGCUACAGUGCAGGCCUGAUGAGAAAGGAGGUGGCCAUCUACCUGCAGAAGCUGAAGGAACUGGAGCAGCGGCAGGUGGAGGUCAUCCGGGAGAACAUGGAGCUCAAGGAGGUGUGCCUCAUGCUGGAGGAGGAGAGGGCUGUGGCUGUGGCUGGAGGGGGAGGAGGUGGAGGUGUGGGCAGUCAUGGGGUUCCUGGCCGUAGGAGCUCUAUAGACAGUCAGAGCAGCUUGUCUCAGCUUGCUGGAGGUGUCCCAGCACCUGGACUACUGCGGGACGUUGGCGACGGGAGCAGCACCUCCAGUGCGGGGAGUACAGAUAGCCCAGAUAACCCACACCUCAAACCCCCUCCCCUGGGCUCCAACCACAGCCCUGGAUCAAGAUGUGUCUCUGCAGAGCACCCCCACAAACCAGGAGAUGUGUGUGAAUCCACAGGCAGGAGGCACAGCUCCACCCCAGAGUACCAUACCUUCCCCCAGGCCUGUCGCCCCCGCGGGGGGUCCCUCACCAACCUGGACCCUCGUGGUCUUCGGGGACACAGCCCAGACAAACACAGCAAGUCUCCCACCAGGCAACCAUGUGACUCCCACCCCAAACCCUGCAGCUCUGACCUACUAGCCCAGAAACAGCUAUUGAUGUCAGGGCAGGCAUCAGCAGGCUGUGGGAAGGGAACAGCCAAGUCCAGCCCAGAGCUGAGUCAGAGACACCGGCCAGUUAACAUGGCAGGGGCAGGCUGUGGGAGUCCUGAGGCCAAGCCGACAGCGAUGGGGACGCCUGAGCACCUGAGAAAGGGGCGGGUGAUUGUGGGUAGUCCAGAGUCUAUACGGCACCACCAUCACUAUCAGCACAGCUCUGGGAUGGAGCACGACAAGGGGAGGUAUAGCAGUGGCUCCCCUGGCAGGGACGGGGGUCAGAGGAGGAUGGCAGGAGAGGAGAUGUCCCCCCACCACCAGAGUCUGUACAACGGUAGGCACAGGCUCUGAUAUCUGCUGGUUGCUGCACCAACUCCUGUAGGAGUGUAAAGCUUUGGGACAGCUUCGAUGCCUCCUGACCAUGACAUGCCUCUUGAUCAGAUGCUGCUGUGACAACACACCCCAGAGAGAGAAGCAGAGGGUUAUUAGCAGGCUGGAUGGCUGGAUGGAUGGAAGGAUGAGUUGAUCGAAGGCAUAACUGGAUGGAGAAAUCAUCAUGAAAUUCAAAAUCAAGCAGCGAGGGCGAGGGAGCAGAUGAGUGCAACAAGGCUACAAAACACUGGAAAUACUUGAACACUCUGUCCGCCCUGUCUGCUGUGCUGCUGCUGCUGCUGCUGCUAUGCAUUCCCCGUGUACCACCAGAAAAGACUGAAUGUCAUUGUUUGGAUGGGCAGAGGCUCAUCCCUGCAUUGCCAAAAUGAAGACAGGAAGAGAGAUAAGACAGCUGAGAAUCUUUGUGUUGCCAACAAAAUAGUCCUACCUCUUUGGAAAGACAGACCGUCUGGAUGAAAGAACCUGUGCAUGGAAGAGUAACACUGGAGGUUACAGCCCCUUCUCUUUACAAUCACAAUGCCAGUGAUUAUUUUUAAACUUAAUACCCAACAUGUGAUGAUGGUAACUACUUUUACAAAGUCAAUGUGGGCCUGGAAUUAAAGCACAAAAGAAGUUACUGAGUCAUUUUAACUAAAAGUUUUUUAGUUAUAUAAAAGAUAUUUCUGUUUUUAUUACAACUUCUUCCUAUUAUUCUUUAUUUUUGUAGCCUUAAUUAUAGUAACAUUGUACUCACCAAAGUAAUAGCUGAGAUCACAGAACACGGCAGCAUCGCUACAACAAUCCAACAUGGCAAAAAUCUUCUGUUUUCAGAGGAAAUGUACAAUUUCCGCUCAAGUGCAGAAGGCCUUCUUCAAAAUAAACUUACAAAGUAGGUAAAAUACUUUGUUUUUAGGUUGAUAUCCUGAAGUUAAGGCAAGACAAUUUAAGGCAAAACUCUAUGGUUAGGUUUAGAAAGAACAUGAUUUGGCAUAAAAUUCACACGAGAACCGAACAGUGGGCCCUUUUUUGCCCUUCUACUUCCACUCCCAUCUGCCCUGGAAGGACUUAUUCGGUCUUUAUAAUUACAGUAGUUGCCCGCUGCGUUACAAACUGCUGCAGACUGGUGCGUAUCAUACCUCCAAAAAGGAUGCCUCUUUGCGUCAGUGUCUAAUGCAGAGGUCCACUGACUCAGCAGCGUUGCUUGUUGCCUCUAGAACUGACGUGCUCAGUGCGUAUCAUACUGCUGCAAAAGGGGCCUCUGUGCAUCCGUCUCUGAGGCCGAAAUCACUGACAAAGCAGCAGUUCUCAAACAUUCGUUUAGCCAGUAAGUUUAGAUAGAUUAUCAAAACCACCUUUAUUUGGACGUUACACUGAAAGUGAGGUCAUCACACAUGUUAAAAGUAAUCCCUCACUGCAAAUGAAAACUUGCAUUGUACAUUUCUGCAAACCACAAAAACGCUAACAAUUGCAAUCUAGCGACUGGGUCGAAAUAGCAGUGAGUUGCAGCCAAGUCUGAGUCACCGCACAGACUGUGGCUGUAAGCCUUUUACCGUUUUCAAAAUCCCCUUCACUACGGGAAACAACAACAACAACCUCCGAGCUAACAACUUACAUGCUGAAAAAUGGCAAGUUUGGAUGUACAUUUUGGAUGUGCAAAUAACACAUGCCUUUUUUGUUCUUUCGGUGAAUUGUUGUCAAGCUCUACAGCCAAUAAAACAACUUGUGAACGCACCUCGGAAAAUCCCAGACUCCAAUUUGCAGGACUCUGGGGCCCCCAAUGUUGAUCCGUUUUCUGGCAUGGUCAGUUGGAGCUCUUUAGCCACUUCUGCCAAGUCUGUCAACGGCAUGCACCAGUGACAGUGACUUCAACCGUUCCAGUUCACAUGAGCUUCUGUGAUAUUGUUGUAAUAAUGUUCUGCAAGAACCAAAUACAGCCAGCAAAUCAUCUGGGGUUUUGACAAGUCCAGUGAGCUCCUCUAGAGCUGAAGUAUGAUAAGGCUUCACCUCUAGGGCAGGUCUGGCUAUGCGAGGUGAGUUGCAGCCCUAAACUUGAUGAGUACAUUGUUAUUAUUACUACGACUACAAAACGCUAGGUUGUAAUGAAGACAAAUUAUAGUUUAAAGACCUCCGUCAAACAAAUAUUUUGUUGAUGAAAUUACAACACAGCCAUUAAUUCAGAUUACUAGAAUUUGACACAGCAGUUACCAGCACAGAUAGCAUUUACCACCAUUUGAUGAAAAUAAGCUAACGGAGAACCAAACCAGUUCCAGUUGCCAUAUUUGGAAGUAUACAUAGCUUCUGUGAGAAAUUUUGUUCCUGUGUAGUUCUGAGGCAUUUACCCAGGGUGCAGUAACUGAAUGGGUUACAGAGAAAACAUAUAGGGAUAUGUGGGGGAAAAAUUUAAAUAUGUUGUUGUUUAGAGGAGGAGAAAAGGUUUGCUCAUCUUCUGCUCCUCGUUCAGCUUUUGUGUCAAGGUCUGUUCCUAUACCGACAGUGUUAGAGUAUUCUAAACCUUGUGUCAGCGUUCAGUCAUAUAUAUGGUGCUGUGUGUGUGUGCUUGUCAUUUUCUACACUCCCGAGUAUUUAGACAUGGACAAUAUGCCUUGUGCCUCAUUUCAUCACAGCAUGUUAAAGGUGGAGUCAGCGAUUCUGGAGAAAGCUUGUUGAUAUUUAAAUUUAACACCCAAUCAAAUACACCUCUGAUGUUAUUAAGGUGUCAUUACUGUCAAGGUGUAGCUCUGUUCCUCAUGGCCAAGGAGGAGGGAUGUAGAAGAGGAAGAACAGCCAACAUAGUGUUGUGUGGCUCAUUACAAGCCACUCUAUUUGCAUUCACAGAGCCAGGGCUGUGCACUGUAUGUCUUAGCACACACACAAAACUGACAGCUAGCCAACCAUGAGGAGGUAUUCGCUGAAUUUAACAAAAAGUGUAUUGGAUUAGAAUCGCUGACUGCACCUUUAAUGAGAGAUGAUAUAGUUGCAAGAAGACAAAGACAGACCAGGAAAGGAUUUUUUGGCUGUACAAUGGAUAUUCAGCAACACUAAAAUGAAAAUGUAUUAAAUCAUACAGUUGUACAUUAACGUACAGUAAACUAGUUCUGUUUUGAAAGUUUAUUGAGGCAGCACAAACAUUAAUUUAGGGCAGAACUAAGAGAAAAGUAUCUUUUUUUUUUUCUUUUUUUUUGUGUUGAAAUUGCUCUUAUUUUCUAAGAAUUAGUCUUCAUAAUUUUAAACAAGACAUGAAUAGAGUCAGGUAGAAGCAUUAAAAGAGUCAGAAUUAGUUUUUUGUUGUUCAAGUCCCAUUAAGUCAGAAAAAAAAAAUACUUAGACCAAAACAUAAUUUUCCAAGAUAAAUAUGAGCAGAUCUACAGAAGCCAUGAGAAGCAACGUGAAAAAAACCCAAAACUGUGGGCAGUGUUAGCCAGAACCUAAGUCCGUCUCCUACAUAUGCAAUAUUGUCUCUCACGUAUGCGAUAUUAUGUCCUACAUAUGGGAUGUUGUCUCCUACAUGUGAGAUGUUAGAAACAUAACUUAUUGUCAACAAUGCCCGCAAAAACAAAAAACUUCAUCUUGCUCUUCAUCUUGUUAUCUGUGGUUAUAAGCCUCAUAGAUAUUGGUCAGUAGGUUCAGAGGGCUGAUACAUAGCUGUUACCAAGUCAUUAGGUUUCACUUUCCGUAAGUUUAGGCACAAAAAACCGACAUGGUUAUGUUUAGACAGAAUCAUAGUUGGGCCUCAAUAUUGGACCCCUGUUUCCAGGGUGAAAUCCACCACCCCUCCAUACCACCCUAUAUGCAGACUUUCUUGGACAUGGGAGAAAGUCCUAUGCAAGUAUUAUUUUGGGAAAAGUCUUUCUGGAGCAGGGGUGAUUGCUCUGAGAUAACAAGGGAGGCUGAACAUCCCCUAAAAUUUUAUAGAAGAAAUGGUCAAAUAUGCACUAUUGAAUUUACAUUAAAAUAAGAAUUUACAUUGCAUUAAACGUGUACUAGGAUGCGUUUAACAUCAUGAAUAUGAUGUUUAAACGUCACCUGUUUAUCACCAGUUUUCAAACGCGACCGCCCUGUCAUACAUUCUCUGUCAGCACGGUGGAUGCGGAGCCUCCAACCUUUCCUAUGAGACAGCGCUGAGCAGGUUUUUCUUAUGCAGCAAAGCGAGACGGUCAUUGGAUAAAUGCGACAAAAUCGUCACUUCCAGGGAGGCUCAGUUUCCCUGGGACCUAAUGGAGCAGUAGGCGGGAGAGGACGCUCGGUGUAUGCAUGAUGAUUGGAGGAAUUGUCUAAAAGGCUGAACCCCUUUGUGAUUGACAGCGCUUUUGAAAUACACACUGGAGUCAGCGCAUUUCGAGCUCAGUCCCAUGCAGAUAUUUGCGAGUGGAGUCUUCUGACAGAGUGCCGUCCGGAGUUCCUUAUUUCCAUAAGCGAUAUAGCUCAUUUUCACCGUUAAACCCAUCUGAACAUCUUUGAGGUGUGUUUUGCUGUGGUUCAUGAGUGUGGUUGAAAAACGGCUUCAAUUAAAUGUUCCUUUUAUAAUUUACUGCCUCGCUACAAUAUGACAAAUUUUAUGAUGUAAACUUAAAGUGAGCUUCCCCUGUUUGAAAGACCAGCAGCCGCCACUGUUCUGGAGGAACAUUUCAUUUUAUGAUCUGAUGAUGGCCCUCUCAACCUAAUAGUGGGUGUGGCAGACCCUUUCUUAUCCAUAUAGAUGAUGCUUAUCACCACUGAUACAGGCAUUUUAUGGCCUGAUAACAGCCAAAUUGGCUCAAGAUGUAACCACACAACUAUACUUAGGCUCAAGCAGGCAAUUUUGUCCAAAUAACAUUCUCUUAUUGUUGGCAAUUACGUGCAAUAGAAUCUUAAUGUUAACAGUUGAUCAGAUGAAUUAUGUUCUGUGCAGUAAUUAGUUUUAGAAAAAUAAACAUACUGUAUAUUUUACAAAGUAAAUUAUGCAUUGAUGCAUAUGCGUUUGAGUCAACAUAAGGUAAACCAAAAAAAAAAAAAAAAAAUCAGAAAUGGCAAGGAAUACAAAUAUUUGACUGUGAAUGUGAACAGUGAAUGAUGCGCUGACAAAUUUAACAGGAAUUCUUACAACUCUUCAACAACUUUGUGUCAUUUUCACUUCAUAUCUACUGAGCUAGAUUCUGAACAUUGAUAGUCUUUUAUAAAUGACAAAAAAACACAUAUUUUCUUUUUUUUUCAAAAAUAAAAAUAAAUAAAAAAAUGACACAAAGUGCUCUUUCCUCCUUAAUAAAGGAAUAUGGGCAUGCGUAUCCUCAUACAAUGGUUUGUAUCCUGUGAAUGAAUGCCCCACAAAUGAGGUUAUGUACUUAACAUAAAGUUACGUGAAAGUCCUGUGUUUUGUGACCCAUCCACCACCCCAACCUCCGGCCUUAAGGGAGCGUUUCCUCCUUUACUCCUGUCAGCGCAUUGGUUACUUGAUCACAGCCUUCCCAAAAGCAUAGGAAAAUUAGGACAGGAUAAAAAUUAAAAAAUUGUGAGAACAACCUGCACUCUUUAGUAUCACAAUUUCAUUAUAAAAAUCACAAACCUUUAGUCAACCCAUAAAUGUGCUAUAGGUCUUGUGCUCUUAGAUUUUUAAGGCGUAGAAUCAUCUUUUAAGUUUCUAAAAGAACGAAGGCUCUAGUUACUGUAGGUGAGUUAGUGGAAACUUCUUGGAUUUAAAUGCUCCCACAUACACAUACAUUUUCAAAUUCUGUUUUGUUCUUUGCUUUCACAGAGGAAAAUAGAUUUCACUGGAAGCACUGAUGCACCAAAUCCAAGGUCAAGAUUUAACAAGAAAUGACUUACUGACUUAGCAAAAUAGAACUUAAAGUUUGUGUCGAGAAUGUGUUUAAAAUCAUCCAUGAGAGAUUCACCAGGGCCAGUACGUUUCCUGACAGCAAGCUUAGUUUCAGCAGGAUUAGCAUUAGGGGGAUAUCUGUCCUCACCAAAAUAAGUGAAGUGAUUUAUGCCAGAAUGUUUACUUUCUCUUUAAAAGCAGAGCAGAUGAAAUGAUCAAGAUGUGUUGUCCUUAUAAGACUGGAUGCUUGGAUGUGUGGAAAAUGUGACAUUUUACUUUGUGCACACACAGUGGCUCACAAUAGUAUACACAUACAGACAUACACACAUAUACGUACAUUUAUCUUGAACCCAUACUGUAUAACCUCUUUACCCUCCCCCUUUUUUUUAGAUUUGGUGACAGAUGAAACAAGACCAGAACUAUAAUAUAUUAUCAAAGACCUUUAUGUUUUUAAAAGUCAAGAGUAGUAUAUCUGCUUAGUUUUAUAAAUAUAUAACUACAGUUAUUAUUUUUGACUUCUUGGUAAAAUAUAACUAAUUAUUAUAACCAGAGAUGUAUGUAUAAGCUA
This is an RNA transcript of Epinephelus moara (kelp grouper), 8029 nucleotides long. It is a transcript of the gene named coiled-coil domain containing 85A, with no coding region annotated. The transcript is spliced from 4 exons. The record is from RefSeq and is a predicted model, not a curated record. NCBI's taxonomy places the organism in Eukaryota, Metazoa, Chordata, Actinopteri, Perciformes, Serranidae.